Long non-coding RNA from Oncorhynchus masou masou (cherry salmon), 551 nucleotides. RefSeq lists it as uncharacterized. The transcript has 4 exons. The record is from RefSeq and is a predicted model, not a curated record. Lineage: Eukaryota; Metazoa; Chordata; Actinopteri; Salmoniformes; Salmonidae.
AAACUUCCCAUGCUUGGCUAAUCAUUUGGACCGAAGACAAAUAUGGCUGCGAGGAUUCCCCCCAAGUGCAUAAGGCGAUGAUGUUAAAUUCUGCCGGCUCCAAGUCCACUGACACCACCGGUGUUACAGCACGACGGCGGACGACUUCUGUGAUGGAGGUGAAUCGGAGUCCGGCAUCAGGACCCAAAAAUGUUUGCUGGUGGGUGGUCUUGGAGUUGAGCGAGAACUUGGAAAAAGGAUGUCAUCCACCGUGCCUGGUCACAGGCUCACAGCUGGCUUCUCUCUGAAACCACACAUCCACCUGACGGUGACGCUUUAUCCUUUGGAACCACACAUACCAGGUGGACAGUCGGCCUCAAGAAGCGAUAGAGGAAAUCAACGAGGUGUGGUUCCAAUUUGUGCCCCGAGUUGAGUCCUAUUGUAAAGUGUAGUAGCCUAAUGGUGAAAAAAAAUUGAAAACUUGCAAUGUAUUCAAUGAUUAAGUACUCAAGUUUCUAACUCCAUAUCAAAAAAUGUGAAAAAAUGUCUUUAACCCUGCAUUAUAAUAUAAC